AAAGAAGGGGUCAGUAUUUUCGCAGAACAUGCUGAGUCUCUGCAUGAUAAGUUGCUUCCUCUGAAAGCUGUAAUAGUAGGACCCCACGCUGUGGAGUGUCACGGGAUGCUUGUUUUGAAAAUAUUUUGCAUUGCUUAGAUGAAGGGCACGCGUUGACACUUCACAUUACAAUAACACAGGCUUACAUUUCAGCUACUUUAAUUCCCAUCAGUCUCACAACUUGGCAGAAGCAUUUUUCACUCAAUUCUACGGUUUUGUUCUGGUCACCCUGAGGAUUCUAUUUUUAGAAGAAGGUCUUUAAAAAUGAAGCAUAAACACAGAGUUAAAAAGACAUUAGUUUGAAACCUAUCCAUGUUUUUCAGAUUCCCAUCUUAGAUGCUAGCUCCUUGCUAUGGAAGGUCCUAUCUUGCCUGGAAAAGCAAAGAAUAAAACAAGAGAAGUGUGUCUGCAGAAACUGGUGAAAACACUUCCCCUCGCACUCUCUUCUUUCAGGAGACCUCCAACACCAGCUCAUCUCCUCCCUCCUCGUGCCACUGUCUGCUCCCAGGCAGAAGGUGGUGGCUCACCGGACUGUUGAAAGCCACAUUGCCAUCCAGGAGAUCUGCCUGUUGAGCCUGAAAGCUGCCCUGUGUGCGGACACUCUAGGUAGCACUGGAGCUAGGACUGAGGUGAGCUCCCCCAGACCACCAAUGGCAGAGCUGGGCAUUUCAGGUCUCAUGGCACCUUGAUGGCACUUGGAAUAGUGUUGGCCUACCUUAAUACUAGCAUUAUAUCUGUAUAAGAAAUCUAUGAGGAGCUGGCAUUGUGGUAUAGUGGAUAAACCUACCACCUGUGGCACUGGCAUCCUAUAUGGGCUCGGAUUUGAGUCCCGGCUAUUCCGCUUUCUAUCUAGCUUCCUGCUAAUGCACCUGGGAAAGCAAUGGAAGAUGGCCCAAGUCCUUGGAUCCCUGCACUCAUGUGAGAGACCUGAAUGAAGCUUCUGGCUUGUAGCUUCGGAUCAGCUUGGCUCCUGCCAUUGCAAGAUUUGGGGAGUGAGCCUGCAGAUGGAAGAUUUUUCUCUCUCUGUCUCUGCCUCUCUCUCUGUAACUCUGCCUUUCAAAUAAAUAAGUAAAUCUUAAAAAAAUACCA
This 1128-nucleotide long non-coding RNA is filed under the name Oryctolagus cuniculus (rabbit). Its description in RNAcentral is "lncRNA (ENSOCUG00000038924.1)". The record is from RNAcentral. Lineage: Eukaryota; Metazoa; Chordata; Mammalia; Lagomorpha; Leporidae.